Molecule: ribosomal RNA, 245 nt
Filed under: uncultured bacterium
Lineage: Bacteria
Description: partial 16S ribosomal RNA
Rfam family: Bacterial small subunit ribosomal RNA
Source: RNAcentral
UACAGAGGUCCCGAGCGUUGUUCGGAUUCAUUGGGCGUAAAGGGUGCGUAGGCGGCGGGGCAAGUCUGAUGUGAAAUCCCGGGGCUCAACCCCGGAACUGCAUUGGAUACUGCCUUGCUCGAGUACUGGAGAGGGAACUGGAAUUUACGGUGUAGCAGUGAAAUGCGUAGAGAUCGUAAGGAAGGCCAGUGGCGAAGGCGAGUUCCUGGACAGUUACUGACGCUGAGGCACGAAGGCCAGGGGAG